Molecule: non-coding RNA, 1413 nt
Filed under: Drosophila willistoni
Lineage: Eukaryota; Metazoa; Arthropoda; Insecta; Diptera; Drosophilidae
Description: Eukaryotic large subunit ribosomal RNA
Rfam family: Eukaryotic large subunit ribosomal RNA
Source: Rfam by way of RNAcentral
CCGUAACCUGUUGAGUAUCCGUUUGUUAUUAAAUAUGGGCCUCGUGCUCAUCCUGGCAACAGGAACGACCAUAAAGAAGCCGUCGAGAGGUAUCGGAAGAGUUUUCUUUUCUGUUUUAUAGCCGUACUACCAUGGAAGUCUUUCGCAGAGAGAUAUGGUAGAUGGGCUAGAAGAGCAUGACAUAUACUGUUGUGUCGAUAUUUUCUCCUCGGACCUUGAAAAUUUAUGGUGGGGAUACGCAAACUUCUCAACAGGCCGUACCAAUAUCCGCAGCUGGUCUCCAAGGUGAAGAGUCUCUAGUCGAUAGAAUAAUGUAGGUAAGGGAAGUCGGCAAAUUAGAUCCGUAACUUCGGGAUAAGGAUUGGCUCUGAAGAUUGAGAUAGUCGGGCAUGAUUGGGAAACAAUAACAUGGUUUAUGUGCUCGUUCUGGGUAAAUAGAGUUUCUAUCAUUUAUGAUAGUUAUUUGUUCCCCGGAUAGUUAGUUACGUAGCCAAUUGUGGAACUUUCUUGCUAAAAUUUUUAAGAAUACUAAUUUUUAAUUAGUUCUUUUAAAUUAUAACGAUUAUCAAUUAACAAUCAAUUCAGAACUGGCACGGACUUGGGGAAUCCGACUGUCUAAUUAAAACAAAGCAUUGUGAUGGCCCUAGCGGGUGUUGACACAAUGUGAUUUCUGCCCAGUGCUCUGAAUGUCAAAGUGAAGAAAUUCAAGUAAGCGCGGGUCAACGGCGGGAGUAACUAUGACUCUCUUAAGAGGAGGUUUUAGUACGUAGGCGCUGUGGAACUUUAUAGUUCUGAUGAUGCAGUGAAUCGUGCAUGCGGCAAUUCACCCGUAGUAAGGUGACCGUAUCUUUCGAAGAUUUCCUCCCUCUGCGAUCAAAAAAAAAAAAAAAAAAAAAAAUAGCCAAAUGCCUCGUCAUCUAAUUAGUGACGCGCAUGAAUGGAUUAACGAGAUUCCUACUGUCCCUAUCUACUAUCUAGCGAAACCACAGCCAAGGGAACGGGCUUGGAAUAAUUAGCGGGGAAAGAAGACCCUUUUGAGCUUGACUCUAAUCUGGCAGUGUAAGGAGACAUAAGAGGUGUAGAAUAAGUGGGAGAUAUUAUUCCUUGUGUUUGAUAUCGCCAAUGAAAUACCACUACUCUUAUUGUUUCCUUACUUACUUGAUUAAAUGGAACGUGUAUCAUUUCCUAGCCAUUAUACGGAUAUAUUUAUUAUAUCUUAUGGUAUUGGGUUUUGAUGCAAGCUUCUUGAUCAAAGUAUCACGAGUUUGUUAUAUAAUCGCAAACAAAUUCUUUAAUGAGAGAGUGCAUUUAUGUAUUUUUAAUUUGAAUAUUUGGUAUAACUCCAAUUACUCAGUAUGAUCCAAUUCAGGACAUUGCCAGGUAGGAGUUUGACUGGGGCGGUACAUCUCUCAA